GAUGAACGCUGGCGGCGUGCCUAAUACAUGCAAGUCGAGCGAACGGACGAGAAGCUUGCUUCUCUGAUGUUAGCGGCGGACGGGUGAGUAACACGUGGAUAACCUACCUAUAAGACUGGGAUAACUUCGGGAAACCGUAGCUAAUACCGGAUAAUAUUUUGAACCGCAUGGUUCAAAAGUGAAAGACGGUCUUGCUGUCACUUAUAGAUGGAUCCGCGCUGCAUUAGCUAGUUGGUAAGGUAACGGCUUACCAAGGCAACGAUGCAUAGCCGACCUGAGAGGGGGAUCGGCCACACUGGAACGGAGACACGGUCCAGGCUCCUACGGGAGGGAGCAGUAGGGAAUCUUCCGCAAUGGGCGAAAGCCUGACGGAGCAACGCCGCGUGAGUGAUGAAGGUCUUCGGAUCGGAAAACUCUGUUAUUAGGGAAGAACAUAUGUGGAAGGAACUGUGCACAGCGUGACGGUAACUAAUCAGAAAGCCACGGCUAACUACGUG
This 497-nucleotide ribosomal RNA is filed under the name uncultured bacterium. Its description in RNAcentral is "partial 16S ribosomal RNA". It matches the Rfam family "Bacterial small subunit ribosomal RNA", at positions 28 to 507 of the family's 1533-position model. The record is from RNAcentral.